UGGUGGGGUGACCCGUCUGGUUAAUUUCGAUAACGAACGAGAUCCGAGCUGUUUAGUUGGCCGCUAUUGUUAAGGCAGUAGUGUGUCUCCUAUAUGGACUGUCAGUUUGAGGCUGAAGGAAGUUUCCGGGCUAAAUCA
This 138-nucleotide ribosomal RNA is filed under the name uncultured eukaryote. RNAcentral describes it as "partial 18S ribosomal RNA". It matches the Rfam family "Eukaryotic small subunit ribosomal RNA", at positions 1299 to 1458 of the family's 1831-position model. The record is from RNAcentral.